This 1890-nucleotide long non-coding RNA is filed under the name Phoenix dactylifera (date palm). RNAcentral describes it as "long non-coding RNA (PDAC_LNC008071)". Lineage: Eukaryota; Viridiplantae; Streptophyta; Magnoliopsida; Arecales; Arecaceae. The record is from RNAcentral.
AGGUAUGGUUUGGAGAAGCCUCUUGUGGAUGUCUCACUUUGAAGCUAGCAGUUCAGUCAUAGCAUUAGCAGCCAUGACUUGAGAUUACACAAAACAAAACAUCACAUAAUAGGUUCUACACUUUAUUGUUGUAUUAAAUUACCUUUGCAUUAACAUCACAAAACAUAAUUGGCAAAGUAUAUCAUUUUGGUUUUAGAGCUUCUUUGGGCUUCCUAAUGCUAGAUUCACAAUUGCAUUAUUAGCUAAAAAGUCUUGGUGAUUGUGUAUGUUUGUUUUUGGGGUCAUACAUCUUGGCUUUGUUAUGCUUUUUGCAUGUUGCCCAUGCUCCUAGUCUUGGAAAUUUUGCUUAGGGUUUUAUAUAAGGUACGCUGUCUCGGUACCGGGUUCCAUACCACUGCCAACCUAUCACUGUGUUGAUACGGUAUGAUAUAAGGCUGGUUCGGCGUAUCAAGUACUGAACUGGUAUGAUAUGGCACAUCCCGUACCGCUCGAUUCGGUACGGUAUAGCAAACCUUGGUUCUAUAUCUUGGCUCAGUUGCUGAUAAAGCAUUGAUCAAUUUGGUGACGAUUUGAUUCUUUUAUUAGUUGUUGUGAAGUUGUGAUAGGUACAUGCAAGUAAUUUUGAUAUUGCAUGGCAUGACAUGAUUCCCUUCUCUUAUGUCCUUUUUUUUUCUUAACCUGAUUCUUUUUCUCCUUGUUGGGUAUAUCUAUCUUUGUUAAGGGAGAGAGGUGCUAGAAAACUCUAAAUGAGGAUGCAUUAUAUAAGAGACUGGUAAUGCUAGAUUAUCAUUGAUGGAGGAGAAGGUAAUCAGUGGUGUUCUAUUUUUAUUUUCUAUUUUCAUAUGAAUUAGUUUCAGACUUGGUUAAAUUCUUUGGCUUGUGAAUGAUAUAAUUUUAGGUAUCAGAGUUCAAUUACAAGUCUUCUUAAGUAUAAAAUAGUGUACAACUAAAUCAAUAUUUUUAUAGCAGGAAUUUUCUGAAUUAAUAAAUCGCAUGCUAGUGUAAUAAAUGCAGAAUAAUACCAAAGCAUGUGAAGCAUAGCACUUGCCGUUUCAGCACUCAAAACACAGGAUUAUCCAGAUUAUAAACAGUAAGCUGAACCCACUAAUUUGGAAUGGAAGUUACCAUAUAAUUAAUUUUAGGUGCUUGAAGUUGCAAUUUAAUGAGGAGUCAUGCUAUGUGCCUUACUUUUUCUUUUCAGUAGGUAAUGGUGCAACUCAUGAAAGGUUGGCUUGGGACAUUAGCAGGGCCCAAUGUCCUAGGUAAUUCAUCAGCUAAUUCGAAUAGUGCUGCAAAUCAUUGCUUGUAAAAGGAACAUUUGAUGGAUGUUUGUGAACCAUCAAUCAGAAUUAUUUCCGUAAAUAUAGUAAAGUCACUCCUUUUGAUUUAUUUAUACUUAAAGAGGGAUAUAAUUUGUCAAAGGGGAGUAUGCAUACCCAGAAAGGAGCAUUCAUAUAAUGAUGAGUUGUGUCCACAUUACCAACAUUCAUUUUUCAGAUCCUUUUCAGCUGAGUCUCUAUACAUUGAGGUAUAGAGAUGGAUCCAACUCCUAGACAAACAACUGUACCCCAUCUCAUCCAACACAGAUGUUCACAAUUGUCAUAUGACUCAUAUUCCUUUUUCGCUUGAAAUUCUUUUUGCUUAUAGUCCUUUCUAGUAAUCCUUCUUAAGUUAGUGUAGAUAAAAAGCCCUGUUCCAUCCCAUCCGACCCUUUGUUCUUGUUGCAUUCCUCUUUAUCAUAUUAUCUUGGUGGAGCUUUUAAUCAUCUUCUAGAUCUUAAGCAGUUAGGGCAUGGUGCUAUGUUCUUAACAGGCUGGAGCCAGUGCCAUAUGUUUGGCCUUUUCACACUACUUGCACUUCCUUCUUGGGCUCCAUAUAUGCUUUUCUUCU